ACCAUGCUGAAUAUACCGGUUCUCGUUAGAUCACCGAAGUUAAGCAUCAUUGGGCGCGGUCAGUACUUGGGUGGGUGACCACCUGGGAACACCGCGUGCUGUU
RNAcentral lists this ribosomal RNA (103 nucleotides) under Caerostris darwini. Lineage: Eukaryota; Metazoa; Arthropoda; Arachnida; Araneae; Araneidae. The record is from RNAcentral.